GUGGUCCUACGGGGCGCAGCAGUGGGGGAUAUUGGACAAUGGGGGGAACCCUGAUCCAGCGACGCCGCGUGAGUGAAGAAGUAUUUCGGUAUGUAAAGCUCUGUCAGCAGGGAAGAAAGCAAUGACGGUACCUGACCAAGAAGCCCCGGCUAACUACGUGCCAGCAGCCGCGGUAAUACGUAGGGGGCAAGCGUUAUCCGGAUUUACUGGGUGUAAAGGGAGCGUAGACGGUGCAGCAAGUCUGAUGUGAAAGGUCGGGGCCCAACCCCGGGACUGCAUUGGAAACUGUUGAACUGGAGUACAGG
Molecule: ribosomal RNA, 305 nt
Filed under: uncultured bacterium
Lineage: Bacteria
Description: bacterial SSU rRNA
Rfam family: Bacterial small subunit ribosomal RNA
Source: RNAcentral